RNAcentral lists this ribosomal RNA (198 nucleotides) under Fibrisoma montanum. RNAcentral describes it as "Fibrisoma sp. HYT19 partial 23S ribosomal RNA". It matches the Rfam family "Bacterial large subunit ribosomal RNA", at positions 1 to 223 of the family's 2925-position model. The record is from RNAcentral. Lineage: Bacteria; Pseudomonadati; Bacteroidota; Cytophagia; Cytophagales; Spirosomataceae.
CAAAUAAGGGCGCCUGGGGGAUGCCUAGGCUUCUGGUGGCGAUGAAGGACGUGGCAAGCGACGAAACGGUACGGGGACCCGCUGGCAGGGGCUGAUCCGUACGUGUCCGAAUGGGGCAACCCACUAGCUUGAAGAGCUAGUACCCUGCGGGGGGCAAACGCGGUGAACUGAAACAUCUAAGUAGCCGCAGGAAAAGAA